Molecule: ribosomal RNA, 309 nt
Filed under: uncultured bacterium
Lineage: Bacteria
Description: partial 16S ribosomal RNA
Rfam family: Bacterial small subunit ribosomal RNA
Source: RNAcentral
AGAGACAGCAGUAGCCGCGGUAAAACGUAGGUGGCAAGCGUUAUCCGGAAUUAUUGGGCGUAAAGCGCGCGUAGGCGGUUUCUUAAGUCUGAUGUGAAAGCCCACGGCUCAACCGUGGAGGGUCAUUGGAAACUGGGAAACUUGAGUGCAGAAGAGGAAAGUGGAAUUCCAUGUGUAGCGGUGAAAUGCGCAGAGAUAUGGAGGAACACCAGUGGCGAAGGCGACUUUCUGGUCUGUAACUGACGCUGAUGUGCGAAAGCGUGGGGAUCAAACAGGAUUAGAUACCCCAGUAGUCCCUGUCUCUUAUAC